UAUGGCUGUCGUCAGCUCGUGUCGUGAGAUGUUGGGUUAAGUCCCGCAACGAGCGCAACCCUUGUCGUUAGUUACUACCAUUAAGUUGAGGACUCUAGCGAGACUGCCUGGGUUAACCAGGAGGAAGGUGGGGAUGACGUCAAAUCAUCAUGCCCCUUAUGUGUAGGGCUACACACGUGCUACAAUGGCUGGUACAGAGAGAUGCAAUACCGCGAGGUGGAGCCAAACUUAAAAACCAGUCUCAGUUCGGAUUGUAGGCUGAAACUCGCCUACAUGAAGCUGGAGUUACUAGUAAUCGCGAAUCAGAAUGUCGCGGUGAA
RNAcentral lists this ribosomal RNA (320 nucleotides) under uncultured bacterium. RNAcentral describes it as "bacterial SSU rRNA". It matches the Rfam family "Bacterial small subunit ribosomal RNA", at positions 1044 to 1366 of the family's 1533-position model. The record is from RNAcentral.